This 1372-nucleotide ribosomal RNA is filed under the name uncultured bacterium. RNAcentral's name for it is "bacterial SSU rRNA". It matches the Rfam family "Bacterial small subunit ribosomal RNA". The record is from RNAcentral.
AGAGUUUGAUCCUGGCUCAGGACGAAUGCUGGCGGCGCGCCUAACACAUGCAAGUCGAACGGAGCUUAGAGAGCUUGCUUUUUAAGCUUAGUGGCGAACGGGUGAGUAACGCGUGAGUAACCUGCCCUAGAGUGGGGGACAACAGUUGGAAACGACUGCUAAUACCGCAUAAGCCCACGGGUCGGCAUCGACCAGAGGGAAAAGGAGCAAUCCGCUUUGAGAUGGCCUCGCGUCCGAUUAGCUAGUUGGUGAGGUAACGGCCCACCAAGGCGACGAUCGGUAGCCGGACUGAGAGGUUGAACGGCCACAUUGGGACUGAGACACGGCCCAAACUCCUACGGGAGGCAGCAGUGGGGAAUAUUGCACAAUGGGGGAAACCCUGAUGCAGCGACGCCGCGUGGAGGAAGAAGGUCUUCGGAUUGUAAACUCCUGUUGUUGAGGAAGAUAAUGACGGUACUCAACAAGGAAGUGACGGCUAAAUACGUGCCAGCAGCCGCGGUAAUACGUAGGGGGCGAGCGUUAUCCGGAUUCAUUGGGCGUAAAGCGCGCGUAGGCGGCCCGGCAGGCCGGGGGUCGAAGCGGGGGGCUCAACCCCCCGAAGCCCCCGGAACCUCCGCGGCUUGGGUCCGGUAGGGGAGGGUGGAACACCCGGUGUAGCGGUGGAAUGCGCAGAUAUCGGGUGGAACACCGGUGGCGAAGGCGGCCCUCUGGGCCGAGACCGACGCUGAGGCGCGAAAGCUGGGGGAGCGAACAGGAUUAGAUACCCUGGUAGUCCCAGCCGUAAACGAUGGACGCUAGGUGUGGGGGGACGAUCCCCCCGUGCCGCAGCCAACGCAUUAAGCGUCCCGCCUGGGGAGUACGGCCGCAAGGCUAAAACUCAAAGGAAUUGACGGGGGCCCGCACAAGCAGCGGAGCAUGUGGCUUAAUUCGAAGCAACGCGAAGAACCUUACCAGGGCUUGACAUAUGGGUGAAGCGGGGGAGACCCCGUGGCCGAGAGGAGCCCAUACAGGUGGUGCAUGGCUGUCGUCAGCUCGUGUCGUGAGAUGUUGGGUUAAGUCCCGCAACGAGCGCAACCCCCGCCGCGUGUUGCCAUCGGGUGAUGCCGGGAACCCACGCGGGACCGCCGCCGUCAAGGCGGAGGAGGGCGGGGACGACGUCAAGUCAUCAUGCCCCUUAUGCCCUGGGCUGCACACGUGCUACAAUGGCCGGUACAGAGGGAUGCCACCCCGCGAGGGGGAGCGGAUCCCGGAAAGCCGGCCCCAGUUCGGAUUGGGGGCUGCAACCCGCCCCCAUGAAGUCGGAGUUGCUAGUAAUCGCGGAUCAGCAUGCCGCGGUGAAUGCGUUCCCGGGCCUUGCACACACCGCCCGUCA